RNAcentral lists this unclassified non-coding RNA (258 nucleotides) under uncultured fungus. RNAcentral describes it as "partial contains 18S rRNA, ITS1, 5.8S rRNA". Lineage: Eukaryota; Fungi. The record is from RNAcentral.
GCAGAAGGAUCAUUAGUGAAGAUUUGGGCAGGCCAUACGGACGCCAAAAAGUGUCCCUGGCCGCCCACACCCACUAUACAUCCACAAACCCGUGUGCACUGUCUUGGAGAAAGGCUUCAGAGAAGUUUUUUGUGGCCUCUCUUGGGGUCUUUCUUCGCUACAAACUCGAAUGGUUAGUAUGAACGUGGAACUUGGUUGGACCGUCACUGGCCAACAAACUAUACACAACUUUCGACAACGGAUCUCUUGGUUCUCCCA